This 577-nucleotide long non-coding RNA is filed under the name Mustela putorius furo (domestic ferret). Its description in RNAcentral is "lncRNA (ENSMPUG00000030460.1)". The record is from RNAcentral. Lineage: Eukaryota; Metazoa; Chordata; Mammalia; Carnivora; Mustelidae.
CUUUGGGAGUCUUUUCUCUCUGCCCUUCCCCGCCCCGCUGCGCUUGGGCACUUGCUCUCUCUUUCUCUCAUUCUCUCUCUCUCUCUUUCUCUCUCUCUCUCAUGCUCAUAAAUAAAUAAAUAAAUAAAUAAAAAGAAAAAUAGAUUCUCAAAGUUUACAGGCUUCAUACUCAUUUGCAAAAAAAUACCGGGCGGGAUUUCUUGGUGGUAGCUUUCCACUGUCUAGCAGUUCAGAGACCCAGGCUCCUUGUGUAACUGUUGCUCCCCUCUUUUCUAGGGCCUGUCGUCUACCUCCAGUUAGUGCGAGAUGGAAGAAAACAUGGAGUGGGCCCGGGGAAAGCUGUGCCUGAUUCAUUCAUCCCGGGGACAGGCCUCUCUGACGUGCUCUCUCUGGCAGUCUGAUCCUGAAGAACAAGUGUGUCACCACCUCCUUGAAAGGACAUCAGACAGCAAAUGGGAGAAUCCACAAGGAGGGAAGGAGAGGCCACAUAGAGAGGUGAGUUCUGAAUUGGGCCCGAACAGGGAACAGAGAACUCUCCCUGGUCAGGUGCAGGCCUUAAAGCUGCCUGCAGCCACUC